CCUACGGGCGGUAGCAGUGAGGAAUAUUGGUCAAUGGGCGGGAGCCUGAACCAGCCAAGCCGCGUGAAGGAAGAAGGCGCCAAGCGUCGUAAACUUCUUUUGUCGGGGAACAAAGGGCGCCACGUGUGGCGUUGUGAGUGUACCCGAAGAAAAAGCAUCGGCUAACUCCGUGCCAGCAGCCGCGGUAAUACGGAGGAUGCGAGCGUUAUCCGGAUUUAUUGGGUUUAAAGGGUGCGUAGGCGGUCCGGAAAGUCAGCGGUAAAAGCCCGGGGCUCAACCCCGGCGAGCCGUUGAAACUGUCGGACUAGAGACGGCGAGAAGUACGCGGAAUGCGCGGUGUAGCGGUGAAAUGCAUAGAUAUUACACAGAACACCGAUUGCGAAGGCAGCUUGCUAGGCCGGAUCUGACACUGAUGCACGAAAGCGUGGGGAUCGAACAGGAUUAGAUACCCUGGUAGUC
RNAcentral lists this ribosomal RNA (459 nucleotides) under uncultured bacterium. RNAcentral's name for it is "partial 16S ribosomal RNA". It matches the Rfam family "Bacterial small subunit ribosomal RNA", at positions 338 to 795 of the family's 1533-position model. The record is from RNAcentral.